GAAAUGUGAUAAGUAAUGUGAAUUGCAGAAUUCAGUGAAUCAUCGAAUCUUUGAACGCACCUUGCGCUCCUUGGUAUUCCUUGGAGCAUGCCUGUUUGAGUAUCAUGAAAUCUUCAAAGUAAAUCUUUUGUUAACUCAAUUGGUUUCUACUUUGGUAUUGGAGGUCUUUGCAGCUUCACACCUGCUCCUCUUUGUUCAUUAGCUGGAUUUCAGUGUUAUGCUUGGUUCCACUCGGCGUGAUAAGUUAUCUAUCGCUGAGGACACUGUAAAAGGUGGCCAAGGUAAAUGCAGAUGAACCGCUUCUAAUAGUCCAUUGACUUGGACAAUACUUUUAUGAUCUGAUCUCAAAUCAGGUAGGACUACCCGCUGAACUUAAGC
RNAcentral lists this unclassified non-coding RNA (378 nucleotides) under plant metagenome. RNAcentral's name for it is "partial contains 5.8S ribosomal RNA, internal transcribed spacer 2, and large subunit ribosomal RNA". The stretch from base 1 to 105 matches the Rfam family "5.8S ribosomal RNA", at positions 50 to 154 of the family's 154-position model. The record is from RNAcentral.